Molecule: ribosomal RNA, 522 nt
Filed under: uncultured bacterium
Lineage: Bacteria
Description: bacterial SSU rRNA
Rfam family: Bacterial small subunit ribosomal RNA
Source: RNAcentral
AGAGUUUGAUCCUGGCUCAGAUUGAACGCUGGCGGCAGGCCUAACACAUGCAAGUCGAGCGGAUGAAGGGUGCUUGCACCCUGAUUCAGCGGCGGACGGGUGAGUAAUGCCUAGGAAUCUGCCUGGUAGUGGGGGACAACGUUUCGAAAGGAACGCUAAUACCGCAUACGUCCUACGGGAGAAAGCAGGGGACCUUCGGGCCUUGCGCUAUCAGAUGAGCCUAGGUCGGAUUAGCUAGUUGGUGAGGUAAUGGCUCACCAAGGCGACGAUCCGUAACUGGUCUGAGAGGAUGAUCAGUCACACUGGAACUGAGACACGGUCCAGACUCCUACGGGAGGCAGCAGUGGGGAAUAUUGGACAAUGGGCGAAAGCCUGAUCCAGCCAUGCCGCGUGUGUGAAGAAGGUCUUCGGAUUGUAAAGCACUUUAAGUUGGGAGGAAGGGCAGUAAAUUAAUACUUUGCUGUUUUGACGUUACCGACAGAAUAAGCACCGGCUAACUCUGUGCCAGCAGCCGCGGUAAUA